Molecule: long non-coding RNA, 426 nt
Organism: Anguilla anguilla (European eel)
Lineage: Eukaryota; Metazoa; Chordata; Actinopteri; Anguilliformes; Anguillidae
Exons: 2
Source: RefSeq, a predicted model, not a curated record
AUUGUAAGAUUUUUAGUUCAACUACAAAUCUUCAAUACAGAGGUUGUGCCAAAACGCAAUACUUGGGCCCACUGAUGAAAGAAAGCCUUAGUUCACAGCUCACAAGACUUCAGUAUCACUGUAAAGACUGACAGUGCCAUAUUGAUACAAUCAGCCAGGAGAGGGAGAAAGGUGAAUGAAACUGACUCGGGAGUGAUUAACAAAGCAGAGUUGCUAAGGCAUUGUGUGACUCUUGACAGAAACUAAUCAUCUCACUCACCAAUCAUCACUGGUACCACUAAUCAAAUCACAACUAACAGCUUAAAAGAAGGCCAAGACAGACAGUCGGGGUGCAUUUUGACUUCGAUGCUCCCAGAGUACAUGCUACGUGUAUUUUCUGUUGCUGCCAUAUUUUGCCAAUAAAGACAGUUUCUACGAAGACCAAGA